Regulatory RNA element from Paenibacillus sp. TCA20, 111 nucleotides. It matches the Rfam family "TPP riboswitch aptamer (THI element)". Rfam says of the family: Vitamin B(1) in its active form thiamin pyrophosphate (TPP) is an essential coenzyme that is synthesised by coupling of pyrimidine and thiazole moieties in bacteria. Lineage: Bacteria; Bacillati; Bacillota; Bacilli; Caryophanales; Paenibacillaceae. The record is from Rfam.
ACAAUUUACUAGGGGAGCCCGAAAUGCCGGGCUGAGAUGGCACUGCAAGGUGCCGGACUCUUUGCACCUGAUCUGGAUCAUACCAGCGUAGGGAAGUAAUUGGCGAUAAAA